This 798-nucleotide long non-coding RNA is filed under the name Hordeum vulgare. Its description in RNAcentral is "long non-coding RNA (HVUL_LNC007805)". Lineage: Eukaryota; Viridiplantae; Streptophyta; Magnoliopsida; Poales; Poaceae. The record is from RNAcentral.
GUGGCCUUGGCGCCGCAUCGACGACAAAUGUUCGAGUUCGUCGUCGGUGAUUCGUUGCGAUGCGCGAGUGCAUCUGCCAUCAUUCUUUCGGUGAUCAGUUUGAUUUCUAUUGAUUCUCAAGUUUAUAUACAUCUGGAAGAGGUGCGAAGAAGAGGUGACUAUUCGGAGGCAUCCUUUCAGAACAGGUGCUUGUUGGCAAUAGAGAGAUAGAAUAGACAUGACUUUUCGGGGUUGGACACCCUUUCCUAAUUAAUUUCUAACAUUUUGCACGAGCAAAAUCGGAGAGAAAAAGGGAUUAGCACUAAUAAGGCGGACAAUGCCACGUGAGAGCAUUUCUACUCCAUUUCAUCUUUUUCUUGAGAUGAAUAACGGUUGUGUUUGACUAUAACAGGUUGAGGUCCUCAAAUCAGCGGAAUAUGGUGGGCGCAAUCGCGUCGUCAUGUCAACUAUUGUGGUUUAGCAAAGAGAUGUUGUAAAUCUUGUAACAAGCUGGUCACCUUGCAAGAGCAUGAGUGGGUGUUGUCGUGGUGAGAAGGGACUCUGUAACAACAUAAUCUAUUCUAAAUAGUUUUGGUGGUUGAUAACGAUGUUUUUUACGAAUUAAUUGUGUGCAUUAAACUUUCAAAGAAUUAUCAGGCGGCACGAGACGGUUAUUUUCUCCUCACUGGUUGAAAGAGAAGACGAUGCUUACCUAUCGAUUUAGUGUUGGUGGACUAUCAAGAGGGAAUCCGCGUAUAGAAAGGUUGGGCGAAACAAACUCACACACACUUGCACCCCAUCCGAUUCCCGAAGCAAUGG